GAUUGACCAAUGAUCUAAUCAGUACUCGAAAGUACUAUGAUCAUCUUUUGUGAUCCGAACCCGAAGGUCCGAAUCUAAGAUGCUCGCGUCCACUGUGUAGUUCUCAAAGUACGGGCGGUACCUUUUCCGCCGGCCCAGUUAUGGCCGACCAAAAAAGGUCCAGAGGAUUCGGUUCUCAUCUCAGCGUCUUGAAGACACAGCGAUGAGGUCCGGUCCCUCAGGACCCAACAGCGUGCAUGUGCGAGGCUCCCCGGUCCGAACUGUUCCUUCCUGCAAGCAGGCGUACUAAGUUCGAGCCGUUCGGCUCCGCACCAAUGUCAAUGUUCCACCCAUGAGCUGACCGGCUGAGACCCAGUCGUACCGAUGUGAUAAGUACUGUCUCAGAUCCGGCGCCUGGACAAUCUCUGCGUUGAA
RNAcentral lists this unclassified non-coding RNA (414 nucleotides) under Leifsonia xyli subsp. xyli. RNAcentral describes it as "partial 16S-23S ribosomal RNA intergenic spacer". Lineage: Bacteria; Bacillati; Actinomycetota; Actinomycetes; Micrococcales; Microbacteriaceae. The record is from RNAcentral.